GAGAAAAAGGAAAACUGCUACAUCAUUGCCGUCGUGUUUGUUGCCGUUGCCUCGAGUGUGCUGCUGUUUCCUGGGCUGGAAAAUUGAACCGUGUUUCCCAGGGCGGGACAAAAAGCCAUCGGUAACCGUUCUGUACGAAGUGCCGUUGUAGUUCAUCCGGAAAACCCGUCGGAAGAAUCAGCACUAAGCCCGGAGGAAGCAAGUGAGCAACAUCCGUCGAUUAGAUCUGCCGAACGUUUUUGGAUCGGAGAGCCGACAUCCAGUGGAAAACGGUUUGUUGCCUCAAGCCAAACCGUUCAGAUAGCCACAGUGCAAAUAGUGGUUGGGAGGUGAUA
Long non-coding RNA from Uranotaenia lowii, 335 nucleotides. RefSeq lists it as uncharacterized. The transcript has 3 exons. Lineage: Eukaryota; Metazoa; Arthropoda; Insecta; Diptera; Culicidae. The record is from RefSeq and is a predicted model, not a curated record.